GUCAGCAACAGCUCAGCGGUUACUUCUCGAAAUACCACGGAAUUGUAAUUCUGAAAACCUUUCGGGGUUCGAAACCCGCGGGCGCCACCUGAC
This 93-nucleotide vault RNA is filed under the name Aquarana catesbeiana (American bullfrog). RNAcentral's name for it is "Rana catesbeiana (bullfrog) Vault RNA". It matches the Rfam family "Vault RNA". Rfam says of the family: This family of RNAs are found as part of the enigmatic vault ribonucleoprotein complex. The complex consists of a major vault protein (MVP), two minor vault proteins (VPARP and TEP1), and several small untranslated RNA molecules. It has been suggested that the vault complex is involved in drug resistance. Lineage: Eukaryota; Metazoa; Chordata; Amphibia; Anura; Ranidae. The record is from Rfam by way of RNAcentral.